Molecule: long non-coding RNA, 421 nt
Filed under: Homo sapiens (human)
Lineage: Eukaryota; Metazoa; Chordata; Mammalia; Primates; Hominidae
Description: non-protein coding lnc-B3GNT5-11:16
Source: RNAcentral
GUUUUGGAUGAAGCAGAUAAAAAUGUUGAACCAAGGAAUUAAGGAUCAAAUCCAUGAGAUUUACUAGAAAUUAAAUACAAGUUAAAGAUUGUGUUGCUUUCUGCCUCAAUAUUAAUAUGUUGGAAGUUACCAAGAAGUUCAUGACAGAUCUAUUUCAAAUUCUGGUGAAGAAGGAAGAAUUGGCCCUUGAAAGAAUCGCGACAGAAGGAAGAAAACAUUAUCAGGAGGGAAUUCAGAUAAAGGACAAACCAUAUUUUGACUGCUACUGACUUGUUGUUGUUCAGAACUGGCAGUCGGGGUCAACUUGGGAAGACAGCUGUGACCAUAAAUAUUAAAGAAGACAAAAGGAUUCUUUGUGACACUGAGACCUUCUGCAGUACCACAGUGGAGGAAAUGCCAGUGUACACAACUGGCCUCAUUU